GAUGCGUUAGCUCAGCCUGGCCGGAGCGCCCGCUUGUCGCGCGGGAGGUCACGGGUUCGACUCCCGUACGCAUCGCCA
This 78-nucleotide transfer RNA is filed under the name Solirubrobacterales bacterium. Its description in RNAcentral is "tRNA-Asp". It matches the Rfam family "tRNA". Rfam says of the family: Transfer RNA (tRNA) molecules are approximately 80 nucleotides in length. Their secondary structure includes four short double-helical elements and three loops (D, anti-codon, and T loops). Lineage: Bacteria; Bacillati; Actinomycetota; Thermoleophilia; Solirubrobacterales. The record is from RNAcentral.